This 253-nucleotide ribosomal RNA is filed under the name uncultured bacterium. RNAcentral's name for it is "partial 16S ribosomal RNA". It matches the Rfam family "Bacterial small subunit ribosomal RNA", at positions 524 to 776 of the family's 1533-position model. The record is from RNAcentral.
UACGUAGGGGGCAAGCGUUGUCCGGAAUUAUUGGGCGUAAAGAGCUCGUAGGCGGUCUGUCGCGUCGGAUGUGAAAACCCGGGGCUUAACCCCGGGCCUGCAUUCGAUACGGGCAGACACGAGUGUGGUAGGGGAGACUGGAACUCCUGGUGUAGCGGUGAAAUGCGCAGAUAUCAGGAAGAACACCGGUGGCGAAGGCGGGUCUCUGGGCCACUACUGACGCUGAGGAGCGAAAGCGUGGGGAGCGAACAGG